Non-coding RNA from Hysterangium stoloniferum, 94 nucleotides. The record is from the annotation of a GenBank genome assembly. NCBI's taxonomy places the organism in Eukaryota, Fungi, Basidiomycota, Agaricomycetes, Hysterangiales, Hysterangiaceae.
GCCUCGCUAGCUCAACGGUAGAGCGUCAGACUCUUACAGUCCCUCUGACCGGGUAAGAGUCUGAAGGCCGCAGGUUCGAUUCCUGCGCGAGGCA